RNAcentral lists this ribosomal RNA (484 nucleotides) under uncultured bacterium. Its description in RNAcentral is "partial 16S ribosomal RNA". It matches the Rfam family "Bacterial small subunit ribosomal RNA", at positions 30 to 507 of the family's 1533-position model. The record is from RNAcentral.
AUUGAACGCUGGCGGCAGGCCUAACACAUGCAAGUCGAGCGGAUGAAGGGAGCUUGCUCCUGGAUUCAGCGGCGGACGGGUGAGUAAUGCCUAGGAAUCUGCCUGGUAGUGGGGGAUAACGUCCGGAAACGGGCGCUAAUACCGCAUACGUCCUGAGGGAGAAAGUGGGGGAUCUUCGGACCUCACGCUAUCAGAUGAGCCUAGGUCGGAUUAGCUAGUUGGUGGGGUAAAGGCCUACCAAGGCGACGAUCCGUAACUGGUCUGAGAGGAUGAUCAGUCACACUGGAACUGAGCCCCGGUCCAGACUCCUACGGGAGGCAGCAGUGGGGAAUAUUGGACAAUGGGCGAAAGCCUGAUCCAGCCAUGCCGCGUGUGUGAAGAAGGUCUUCGGAUUGUAAAGCACUUUAAGUUGGGAGGAAGGGCAGUAAGUUAAUACCUUGCUGUUUUGACGUUACCAACAGAAUAAGCACCGGCUAACUUCGUG